Molecule: non-coding RNA, 46 nt
Filed under: Mytilus galloprovincialis (Mediterranean mussel)
Lineage: Eukaryota; Metazoa; Mollusca; Bivalvia; Mytilida; Mytilidae
Rfam family: Histone 3' UTR stem-loop
About the family: The mRNAs of metazoan histone genes lack a poly-A tail. 3' end processing occurs at a site between a highly conserved stem-loop (modelled by this family) and a purine rich region around 20 nts downstream (the histone downstream element, or HDE). The stem-loop is bound by a 31 kDa stem-loop binding protein (SLBP - also termed the histone hairpin binding protein, or HBP).
Source: RNAcentral
AAAAAGGCCCUUUUGAGGGCCACCAAUUUUUAAAAGAAAAGAGUCU